GCCUGAGUGGCUCAGUUGGUUAAGCAUCUGACUUCAGCUCAGGGCAUGAUGUCAUGGUUCAUGAGUUUGAGCCCCAUAUUGGGCU
Molecule: transfer RNA, 85 nt
Filed under: Felis catus (domestic cat)
Lineage: Eukaryota; Metazoa; Chordata; Mammalia; Carnivora; Felidae
Also listed under: 3 other names
Rfam family: tRNA
About the family: Transfer RNA (tRNA) molecules are approximately 80 nucleotides in length.
Source: Rfam by way of RNAcentral